UACGUAGGGGGCAAGCGUUAUCCGGAUUUACUGGGUGUAAAGGGAGCGUAGACGGCGAUGCAAGCCAGAUGUGAAAGCCCGGGGCUCAACCCCGGGACUGCAUUUGGAACUGUAUAGCUAGAGUGUCGGAGAGGCAGGCGGAAUUCCUAGUGUAGCGGUGAAAUGCGUAGAUAUUAGGAGGAACACCAAUGGCGAAGGCGGCCUGCUGGACGAUGACUGACGUUGAGGCUCGAAAGCGUGGGGAGCAAACAGG
RNAcentral lists this ribosomal RNA (253 nucleotides) under uncultured bacterium. RNAcentral's name for it is "partial 16S ribosomal RNA". It matches the Rfam family "Bacterial small subunit ribosomal RNA", at positions 524 to 776 of the family's 1533-position model. The record is from RNAcentral.